CAGGGAUUGCCCUAGUAACGGCGAGUGAAGCGGCAACAGCUCAAAUUUGAAAUCUGGCUCUUUCAGGGUCCGAGUUGUAAUUUGCAGAGGGCGCUUUGGCGUUGGCAGCGGUCCAAGUUCCUUGGAACAGGACGUCACAGAGGGUGAGAAUCCCGUACGUGGUCGCUGGCCUUCGCCGUGUAAAGCCCCUUCGACGAGUCGAGUUGUUUGGGAAUGCAGCUCUAAAUGGGAGGUAAAUUUCUUCUAAAGCUAAAUACUGGCCAGAGACCGAUAGCGCACAAGUAGAGUGAUCGAAAGAUGAAAAGCACUUUGGAAAGAGAGUCAAAUAGCACGUGAAAUUGUUGAAAGGGAAGCGCUUGCAGCCAGACUUGCCUGUAGUUGCUCAUCCGGGCUUCUGCCCGGUGCACUCUUCUAUAGGCAGGCCAGCAUCAGUUUGGGCGGUUGGAUAAAGGUCUCUGUCAUGUACCUCUCUUCGGGGAGGCCUUAUAGGGGAGACGACAUGCAACCAGCCUGGACUGAGGUCCGCGCAUUUUGCUAGGAUGCUGGCGUAAUGGCUGUAAGCGGCCCGUCUUGAAACACGGACCAAGGAGUCUAACAUCUAUGCGAGUGUUUGGGUGUCAAGCCCGAACGCGUAAUGAAAGUGAACGGAGGUGGGAACCCUUUAGGGCGCACCAUCGACCGAUCCUGAUGUCUUCGGAAGGAUUUGAGUAAGAGCAUGGCUGUUGGGACCCGAAAGAUGGUGAACUAUGCUUGAAUAGGGUGAAGCCAGAGGAAACUCUGGUGGAGGCUCGCAGCGGUUCUGACGUGCAAAUCGAUCGUCAAAUUUGGGCAUAGGGGCGAAAGACUAAUCGA
Molecule: ribosomal RNA, 852 nt
Filed under: Plenodomus sinensis
Lineage: Eukaryota; Fungi; Ascomycota; Dothideomycetes; Pleosporales; Leptosphaeriaceae
Description: eukaryotic LSU rRNA
Rfam family: Eukaryotic large subunit ribosomal RNA
Source: RNAcentral